UGGGGAAUUUUGGACAAUGGGCGAAAGCCUGAUCCAGCAAUGCCGCGUGUGUGAAGAAGGCCUUCGGGUUGUAAAGCACUUUUGUCCGGAAAGAAAUCCUUGGCUCUAAUACAGUCGGGGGAUGACGGUACCGGAAGAAUAAGCACCGGCUAACUACGUGCCAGCAGCCGCGGUAAUACGUAGGGUGCAAGCGUUAAUCGGAAUUACUGGGCGUAAAGCGUGCGCAGGCGGUUUGCUAAGACCGAUGUGAAAUCCCCGGGCUCAACCUGGGAACUGCAUUGGUGACUGGCAGGCUAGAGUAUGGCAGAGGGGGGUAGAAUUCCACGUGUAGCAGUGAAAUGCGUAGAGAUGUGGAGGAAUACCGAUGGCGAAGGCAGCCCCCUGGGCCAAUACUGACGCUCAUGCACGAAAGCGUGGGGAGCAAACAGGAUUAGAUACCCUGGUAGUCCACGCCCUAAACGAUGUCAACUAGUUGUUGGGGAUUCAUUUCCUUAGUAACGUAGCUAACGCGUGAAGUUGACCGCCUGGGGAGUACGGUCGCAAGAUUAAAACUUAAAGGAAUUGACGAGGUCAUAGCUGUUUCCU
RNAcentral lists this ribosomal RNA (585 nucleotides) under uncultured bacterium. Its description in RNAcentral is "partial 16S ribosomal RNA". It matches the Rfam family "Bacterial small subunit ribosomal RNA", at positions 355 to 1375 of the family's 1533-position model. The record is from RNAcentral.